GCAAGUCACUUAACCCCAAUUGCCUCACCAAAAAAUAAAAAAAUAAAAAUAAAGAUAUAGAUCAAUGAGACAGACUAGAUGAGAGAUAUGGGCCUGGAGUUUAUGGCAGGGUAUAUAGAUUGGGAAUCAUUGGCAUGGAGAUGAUGGCUGACACCCACCCCAGGGAUUGAGUAUAGGGGGAUAAAGAGGGCCUAGGAAAGAGGCUUGUGGGAUACUCAGAGUUUUAGUGGCUGUGACUUGGAUGUAGAUACAGCAAAGUAGACCAAAAGAGCAGUCAGAGGAGAGAACCAGGAGAGAGUAGUAUCACAAAAGCCUGGAGAGAAGAAAGUGAUCAAUAGCAAUGGCUUCAAAGAGAUCAAGGAGUAUCUGGAUUGAGAAAAAGCCAUUAGAUCUAGCAAUUAAAACAACUUUUUUGGGGGGAGGGGGAGUUAAACUUAGGGAAAGCCUUUUCUAUUGAAUGAUGAGGUUGGAAGCCAGAUUGUAGGGGAUCUAGAAAACAGUGGAAAGGAAGUAGAAGCAGCUAACAGUUUUCUCAAGGAGGUUAGCUGACAAGUAGAGAAGAAAUGCAGGAGAGUGGCUAGCAGGGAUGGAUGGAUCAAGUGAGGGUUUUAUGAGGAUGGAGGAGACAGGUGCAUUUGUAGGAAGUAGAGAAGGAACCAACCUCUCUUAAAUCGUAAAAAUGAGGGUGUGGGUAUGAUAGUGGGGGCAUUCUGCCAAAGAAAACAGAAGGUGAUGGAGUCAUGGCAUUUGCAUGGCAAAGAAAAGGGCCACUUUUUCAUGUGAGACAUGGAUGAAGGAAGAGAUUGUGGAAGAUGUUUAAGUGAUUUUAGAAGGGGAGAAGAGGGUAAAUGGCCUCAAAUUUUUUUUUAGUGAAGUAGGAAUUCAGGUCCUCAGCUCACAGGGUAUGUGGAGGUUGUACUGAGAGAGGCCUAGGGAGAAAUCAAAAGUUCACUGUGGUGAAUGGAAUAGUGAAUUGAUUAGAAACAGAUUAGGGGUCGUAAGGCAUAGGGAAAUAUAGAACAUUAAAAGAUUAUGAUCAAAUAAAGGAAUUUAGUGCUCCUGAACUUGGAACACUUGUGAAUGUAGCUGAGGUGGAGUGAAGUAGGAAAUUGAGUAGCUAGAAGAAAUGGGGAGUUGGGAUAUUUGAAGUAGCAUUAGUAUAGAGACAGGUCUUAUAUGAGGGCAGAUGCUGGGAGGACAAAGAGAAAGCCUGUGAGUCAGGCACUGAAAGCAGUAAAAAAGGUCAGAGAAUGCCCUGCAGCUUGAUACAUAACUGCCACCAGGAUCUGUAGAGGGUGAUCAAUUGGAAAAGCACAAACCCCCCAAAAGGGCAGAUUUCCAAGGACAAAUUGAUGGUGCUAAAGAGAGAGUCUGGGAGUGGCCUUGGGGUGUCAGGAGUAUCCUGACUCCCCAGUCAUAAUUAACAAUUUGGGCUUGAGGAAGCACAAGUAGGAAGGGUGGCCAGGGAUGCCUUGUCAUCUGGAGGAAGCUAGGACUCUGUGACAGAAGAUGGAAGAAGUGAGAAAGGAAAAACUUUCAGGUAUAAGAAGUUAUUUAUGGCACAGACAGAGUUGAAGGAGUGGGUAGGUCUGGAGUGGGACAUUGUAGGUGUGGGGUUGAGGAUGGGCAGCUGGAGAUAGGGAAUGAGCUUGGGACAUUGGCAUGAAUGGAAGAGUCUGGGGGUGCUGGGAGUACGCUAGCUGCUGAGGCAUGAAUCCAGGAGGAGUGUUGAUGAUUGGGAGCCAAUGAUAACAGCUCAGGAUGAUGACCGACUGCUUUUCAAAACUGGAUUGGAGUUUCUUUUUUUUCAAAUCCAGCCUUGAGGAGGCCAGAUGUUCGAGUCCCAGAGGAAAGCUGAGAUUAAAGAACCACGUGGCUGCUCUCAUACUUUUUGCAGGUUGUGCCUUUUCUGUCAACCCUUGGAAGCUAGGAUAUUGGAGGGAAUUCUCAUUUCAAAGAAUCCUACUGUCACUUGCACGAUGGCAAAUAUGGUCCAGGAACUAGGGACUCUGACAUUAAGCUUUGUGACCUUGGCCCCUUACCUUUGGCAUGUGGCUUACUGGGGAGUAGUAGAAGGAGGAGCAACCUAGGACAGAAUGGAAAAGGAGAAUGUUAUCUGGAUUUCUGCCUUCACCCCCAGCCUGCCCUUGUACAUGCUACUUUGCCCCUGCUCUGAGUCUGUCCUAAAACUUGAACCAGGAUGAAAAAUGAAAAAUGAUGAAACAGUAUAUCCAAAUAAAACUGAGGAAAUGAUAUGACAUAUGAUUGUAAUAAUUCCAACCUAACUUAUUUAAAUAAGUUAUUGAUUGCCCCAAAUGGAGAACAAAUGAAGAAACAGACAUCAACACUGGUAAUAACAAUUUCUUACAGAUUUCAGCGUUACCAGGAGACCACAACAGCCUAGAAAUUGCUUUUGUUAGCAAACACUAAAUCUCCUUGUCAAAUCAAGAGAUGUUGCA
Molecule: long non-coding RNA, 2459 nt
Organism: Dromiciops gliroides (monito del monte)
Lineage: Eukaryota; Metazoa; Chordata; Mammalia; Microbiotheria; Microbiotheriidae
Exons: 3
Source: RefSeq, a predicted model, not a curated record